This 427-nucleotide ribosomal RNA is filed under the name uncultured bacterium. RNAcentral describes it as "bacterial SSU rRNA". It matches the Rfam family "Bacterial small subunit ribosomal RNA", at positions 355 to 775 of the family's 1533-position model. The record is from RNAcentral.
UCGAGAAUUUUUCACAAUGGGCGCAAGCCUGAUGGAGCGACGCCGCGUGGGGGAUGAAUGGCUUCGGCCCGUAAACCCCUGUCAUUUGCGAUCAACCGUUAUUAUUUAAAAGAUGAUAACCUGAUAGUAGCGAAAGAGGAAGGGACGGCUAACUCUGUGCCAGCAGCCGCGGUAAUACAGAGGUCCCAAGCGUUGUUCGGAUUUACUGGGCGUAAAGGGUGCGUAGGUGGCGGUGUAAGUCGGAUGUGAAAUCUCCGAGCUCAACUCGGAAACUGCAUUGGAAACUACAUUGCUCGAGGGUUGGAGGGGGGACUGGAAUACUUGGUGUAGCAGUGAAAUGCGUAGAUAUCAAGUGGAACACCAGUGGCGAAGGCGAGUCCCUGGACAACUCCUGACACUGAGGCACGAAAGCUAGGGGAGCAAACAG